RNAcentral lists this ribosomal RNA (575 nucleotides) under uncultured fungus. RNAcentral describes it as "eukaryotic LSU rRNA". The stretch from base 234 to 387 matches the Rfam family "5.8S ribosomal RNA". Lineage: Eukaryota; Fungi. The record is from RNAcentral.
GGAAGGAUCAUUAUCGUAUUUCAAUCAGAGGCACCAGGGCUGUCGCUGACCUCCCCUUGAAAAAAAAAAAGGUGGGGUCGUGCACGCCUCGUGUCCUCAACAAACCCAAUACACCCCCUUUGUGCAUCACCGCCGUGGGCUCCCUUUAAAGGGGGCUUACGUUUUUCACACAAACGCUUCAUUAGUUUGUAGAAUGUUUCUUUUGUUUUGCGGCUAGUACGCAAUCAUGUGACAACUUUCAACAACGGAUCUCUUGGCUCUCGCAUCGAUGAAGAACGCAGCGAAAUGCGAUACGUAAUGUGAAUUGCAGAAUUCAGUGAAUCAUCGAAUCUUUGAACGCAUCUUGCGCCCCUUGGUAUUCCGAGGGGCACACCCGUUUGAGUGUCGUGAAAUCCUCAACCUUCAUCCUUUUCUUUUUGAAUCGGGAGAAGGCUUGGACUUUGGAGGCCAUUGCUGAUCCUCAUCAACGUGAGCUCAGCUCCUCUUAAAUGAAUUAGCGAGGUUGUCCUUUUGCCGAUCCUCGGACGUGAUAAGUUGCAUUUACGUCCUUGAGUUUUGGUCAAUACUUUUUCCAA